RNAcentral lists this transfer RNA (73 nucleotides) under Synechococcus sp. CC9902. Its description in RNAcentral is "tRNA-His". The record is from RNAcentral. Lineage: Bacteria; Bacillati; Cyanobacteriota; Cyanophyceae; Synechococcales; Synechococcaceae.
UUAAUGUAUUACUAAAGGACGACAAAAAAUAUCCUUAUUUAUGCAUUACUUGGAGUGAAUCUUAUCCGCGUAU